Molecule: unclassified non-coding RNA, 953 nt
Filed under: Hevea brasiliensis (rubber tree)
Lineage: Eukaryota; Viridiplantae; Streptophyta; Magnoliopsida; Malpighiales; Euphorbiaceae
Source: RNAcentral
GGUGAGUUCAGGUACAGUUAGAGCCCGGUACUGCUGUGAACCACGGGAAGUAAGAGGGGCAAAACCCACCAUGAAGAAGUGAAGACGAGGGAAUGGAAUGAGGUUCACUGCAAGCUUUCUGAGAUCUGAGUUCAACUGGCCAGGGAACCUCAAGCAGCAUGUAACUCCAGACAUGGUUGCAGAUAUCAAGUGAUUCAAGUCACCAAAACUGGGAGUGGUGAGCUUCAGUGUCCGGAAGCAAAUGUCAUACAAGGCCUCAUUGUCAAGAACCAUGCACUCAUCAGCAUUUUCCACCAGCUGAUGGACAGACAGAGUGGCAUUGUAAGGUUCCACAACUGUAUCAGAGACCUUGGGAGAGGGGAACACCGAAAAAGUCAACAUCAUCCUAUCUGGGUACUCUUCCCUAAUUUUGGAAAUCAAGAGCGUCCCCAUUCCAGAUCCAGUACCACCUCCAAGAGAAUGGCACACCUGGAACCCUUGUAAGCAAUCACAAUUCUCAGCCUCCUUUCGAACGACAUCAAGAACAGAAUCAAUAAGCUCUGCACCUUCAGUGUAGUGUCCUUUGGCCCAGUUAUUACCAGCACCAGACUGGCCGAAGACGAAGUUAUCAGGCCUAAAAAUCUGACCAUAAGUUCCAGAUCUGAUGCUGUCCAUGGUACCGGGUUCCAAAUCCAUGAGUACCGCACGAGGGACAAAGCGGCCGCAACUGGCCUCAUUGUAGUAGACAUUGAUUCUUUCAAGCUGAAGAUCUGAAUCCCCUUGGUAGCGACCAGUAGAAUCUAUGCCGUGCUCGGUGCAUACAACUUCCCAGAACUUGGCUCCGAUUUGGUUGCCGCAUUGCCCCCCUUGAACGUGAAGGAUCUCACGCAUUAUUGCUCGGUAUCGUUAAAAAAAGCGAGAGCUUUGAAUUUCAGUCAGAGAUGCAGAGAGAGGACGAAGAGAUACAAAGAGCG